UCCCUGGUAGCUCAGAUGAUAAAGAAUCUGCCUGCAAUGCAGGACAUUUGGGUUCAAUCCCCAAGUUGGGAA
Molecule: transfer RNA, 72 nt
Filed under: Bos taurus (domestic cattle)
Lineage: Eukaryota; Metazoa; Chordata; Mammalia; Artiodactyla; Bovidae
Also listed under: 2 other names
Rfam family: tRNA
About the family: Transfer RNA (tRNA) molecules are approximately 80 nucleotides in length. Their secondary structure includes four short double-helical elements and three loops (D, anti-codon, and T loops). Further hydrogen bonds mediate the characteristic L-shaped molecular structure. tRNAs have two regions of fundamental functional importance: the anti-codon, which is responsible for specific mRNA codon recognition, and the 3' end, to which the tRNAs corresponding amino acid is attached (by aminoacyl-tRNA synthetases). tRNAs cope with the degeneracy of the genetic code in two manners: having more than one tRNA (with a specific anti-codon) for a particular amino acid; and 'wobble' base-pairing, i.e. permitting non-standard base-pairing at the 3rd anti-codon position.
Source: Rfam by way of RNAcentral